RNAcentral lists this small nucleolar RNA (77 nucleotides) under Drosophila virilis. RNAcentral's name for it is "snoRNA:GJ25381". The record is from RNAcentral. Lineage: Eukaryota; Metazoa; Arthropoda; Insecta; Diptera; Drosophilidae.
AUAUGAAGAUAAUUUUACAACCCGAACCCUCGUGUGGGCCUUUGCCGUUUUUGGUAAAGGGACGUAAUUCUGAUUUA